Molecule: transfer RNA, 73 nt
Filed under: Actinomycetota bacterium
Lineage: Bacteria; Bacillati; Actinomycetota
Description: Actinobacteria bacterium tRNA-Val
Rfam family: tRNA (bases 9-70)
About the family: Transfer RNA (tRNA) molecules are approximately 80 nucleotides in length. Their secondary structure includes four short double-helical elements and three loops (D, anti-codon, and T loops).
Source: RNAcentral
CGGCGUAGGGGUGUAGAUGUCCGUCUCCCUUACAAGGAGAGGGUCGGGGGUUCAAGUCCCUCAACGCCCACCA